AAAUUAAGUAAAGCAUCAAAUAAAAACAAUUUAAAAAUAUGAUUUUCAAUAGAAAUUUAGAAAUUUGCAACAUGAUUGACUCUACUCAUAGAACACGAGCUAAAGGAAAUGUUUAUUCCUGAACAGCCCAGGUCCAGGUGGUGAAGGCGCAGGUCUCAACACAGCUCCUACUGCGAGAUGGGAAACCUACUGGAGGAAGUUUGGCUGCUGUCUAUCCCUGCCUCUAGAGCAGGUAUACUUGUUGGAAUGUGAGUGGCCCUCACAGGCUCACAUAUCUAAAUGCUUGUUCCAGCUGGUGAAACUGUUUGGGAAGGAUUAGGAGGUGUGGCCUUGUUGGAGGAGGUAUAUCACUGGGGUGGGCUUUGAGGUGUAAAGGCCCAUGCCAGACCCAGUCUCCCUCUCUCUGUCUGCAACUUGAGGAUAAGAUGUGAGGUUCUCAGCUACUGCUACGGCAUCAUGCCUGCCUGCCUGCCUGCCUGCCUGCCUGCUGCUACACUCCUUCACAAUGAAGAUCAUGGACUCACCCUCUGAAACUGUAAGCAAGCCUCCAUUUAAAUGUUUUAUUUUACAAGUUGCCUUGGUCAAGGUGUAUACUUAUGGUAAUAGAACAGUGACAAAGAGGGCAGGCUAUUUCUUUCUUUCCUUUUUUGGGUGGGGAGGGAGUUGAAGACAGAGUUUCCCUGUGUAAUAGCCCUCGCUAUCCUGAAACUUACUCUUUAGUGCAGACUGGCUUAGAGCUCACAGGGAUCCGCCUGCGUUUGCAUUCUGAGUGCUGGGAUUAAAGGCAUGUGCCACUAUAUCUGCUAUUUCUAUUAGACUAUAUGUAGCAAAAACAAAACAAAACAAAAAACAGGAACAGUGUCCUCAGAGUUAUACUAUUACUAGCACACACCAAAGUCUAUGAUAUAAGUAACAUAUCUCUAAACAAAAUGGAGAAUUCAGUUAAAAAAUGGCUUAUCUUUCUCUGAUUCCAAAAAAUCUAUUUAACAUGUUUUUUAAAAUAAAAGAUCUUACUUCAAACAAGAUAAUCAACAAUAUCAAAGAAACAAAUGAUUAUUUCAUAGAAAAUAGACAUCUCUAGUUUUAAUGUUAUUUUUUACUUGCUUUUUAAAAAGACUUUAUUCCUAAUUGUGUCUAUGUGUGUGUUAGUGUGAGGGUACACAUUAGAAUUGGCACACCUGAGUACAACUGUACUGAAGCACAGAAGAGUCAGAUACCCUUGAGCUAGAUUUACAGGCAGCUGUGAACUGCCCAACAAGGAUACUAGGUUCCAAAUUCUUGCUUUUUAAAAGAGCAGCAACUUCUUCUGGACCUUCACCAGUUUAAUUGGAAAAGUAUUUUCAGACUAUAAUUUUGCAAAAUAUAAUUUCUAUUUUCCUGUUAACAAGAAGCAGGGCAGAGUAAAUUUUCACAACUUAAUCAGGCCAUUUCUCUAAUUGUGCUUCUUCCCAUUACCUCCAACUACUGGAACCUGCCAAACUGAAAGAAAGCAUUACUAGUGGUGGAACAUCACAGGUCCCCAUUCAUACUGCAAGGGGUUUUCAAACCAGAUGGCAUACUCUCCCCGAUGACCACGGGCACAAAAAUUCUCAAUAAAAUACUUUUAAACCAAACUCAAGAACACAUCAAAAAGAUCUUACAGCAUAAUCAAAUACGUUUCAUCCCAGAAAUGUAGGAAUGGUUCAACAGAUAUAAGUCAGUAAAUGUAACCCACUACAUAAUCAGACUCAAACACAAACCAUGUUUUGUUUUUAAACAUGAGCAUGUUAUUAGAUGCAGAAAAAGCCUCUGACAAAAUCAAAAUCCCUUUAUGAUAAAAGUCCUGGAAAGACUAGUGAUAUAGGGGAACAUAUUGAGAUAAUAAAGGUAAUAUGCACAACAAAUCCAUAUUCAACACGAUGUGAACAAGAGAAAAACUCAAAGCAAUGCAAAUCAGGAAUGAAAGAAGGAUGUUUACCCUCUCUGUACCUAUUUCAAGUAGUGUAUGAAGUCUUAGAGCAAAUGACAAGUAAAGAUGAUAAGGGAGAUAUAGACAGAAAAGGAAAAAGUCAAAAUAUUAUUACCGAUGACACAACUCUCUACAUGCAAGACCCUAAGGAUGCUACUAGGAAAUUCCAAAAGCUGAUGAAUACAUUCAGCAAAUUAUCAGGAUACACACAAAACUCAGCAGCCUUCCUAUAUAUGAUUAACAA
Molecule: non-coding RNA, 2192 nt
Organism: Myodes glareolus (Bank vole)
Lineage: Eukaryota; Metazoa; Chordata; Mammalia; Rodentia; Cricetidae
Source: RefSeq, a predicted model, not a curated record